GCUCCCGUAGUUUAAUGGAUAAAACAGCCGCCUCCUAAGCGACCAAUAUGAGUUCGAUUCUCGUCGGGAGCACCA
Molecule: transfer RNA, 75 nt
Filed under: Clostridia bacterium
Lineage: Bacteria; Bacillati; Bacillota; Clostridia
Description: tRNA-Arg
Rfam family: tRNA
About the family: Transfer RNA (tRNA) molecules are approximately 80 nucleotides in length. Their secondary structure includes four short double-helical elements and three loops (D, anti-codon, and T loops).
Source: RNAcentral